AAGAUUUUAAGUUAAUUAAACUUCAAACCUUCAAAGUUUUAUAUAUAUACAUAUAAAUUAUUUAAAUCUUA
Molecule: transfer RNA, 71 nt
Filed under: Lasioglossum sp. SJW-2017
Lineage: Eukaryota; Metazoa; Arthropoda; Insecta; Hymenoptera; Halictidae
Description: tRNA-Trp
Source: RNAcentral